UCUGGUUUAUGUGUCACUUUCUGUCUCUUAGGGGCUAAUACUUUCCUGGUGUCUUUGGUGUUCUUCAUUCUCCUUUAGUCCAGGUGGUUGGGACCAAUUAAUGCAUCUUAGAUGGCCGCUUGCAAGUGAAGCAGAUAUUUUUGUGAGAUUGAGAGCAAAUUAUUUCCAGUAAAUAGAGAUGAUUUUGCUACUUCUUUUAGUUAAGCCAUUAUCAUCAAAACGAGGUAUUUAGAAUUUUUACUUAAGAUAAAUAGUUUACCUUCUGUAUUUUUCUGUAUAAAUGUGCAGUCAUUUUUAGAAAAACAAGCACAUGUUCUUGAAGUUUUCCUAAUUUUUGCAACUAUGGUAGGUCUCAGUCAACAUGAAAAACUUCAUUAUAUGUUUAACUCAGAAGCAUUAACAUCUUACCAAUUUAUAUCGUAAAAUAUUCAAAUUACGAUUUUCGAUUUCCUAAACAAAACUUUCGAAAGAUUUUAUCAUUUCAAAAGAAUGAAACAAAGUUUAAUAAAAUACUUACUAAAAGAUUGAUACUUCAGUAAUUUGAAUCUAGUAACUUACCUUUGCAUAAUGAAUCCAUAAUUGAAUAUUUUAAACCUCUGUUGUGGGGGAGAAAAAUUAAGCAUUUUACCUAUCUAAAAUAGGAUAUUGCAUAUCAUAUAGCAUAACAUUGUGCAUAAAAUUGAUAUUCUCAAACAAAUUGACCAUGAAGUUCAUCAUCAGUGUGAAGGUAUUUUACAGUAAACAUAACUGAGUGCUUGUGUCAUAAUUACUGCUUUUUCAGUAAUUAAGGAUUAAGCCUAGUAGGUAAUAUUGAAUAUGUUGGCAAGAAGUGAGUCAGACUUAGUAUAUUCAGUAAUGUGACUUACUUAUAAAAUAUUUCUGAAAAGGCAACCUGAUGUUGCAGAUGCUGCCUAAAUAAAUUAUUUCUAACACCAAAAGACCUUUGGGCGUUUAUCUAUCUUGAAUGAAUAGAUUCAUCAUAUAUAGGUCUUACUUUACUUGAGAAAAAAAUUAUGUUAUCAUCCUAGAUUCUGCCUUUCAUAUAUACUUUGCUUGACAACACAUUAGAUAUUAUGAGUUAACGUCUUGGAAUUCUGCGUAUGCUGGUUCUGAUUUUCACAUUAUUGUUCAUUCUGACCCUCGGCAUGCUACUUAUAAUUCUCUCUUGUUUCUUUAUUUUUAAAAUAGACAAAAUAAAGACCUGUUUUUUUGUUAAGAGGAGAAUUCAACAAAGACAUUUAUUUAAAAUGAUUGUAAUAUAAGGUAAUAUUUUCAUUUACACUUAUACUGUUUUGGAAACACCUUUGAUGUUUUAUGUAUGAUGCUAACCUAGCAUAGUUUUAAAACAUUAAUAAUUGCAUUAUUUUCAAGUCACUUAUUAUCACUUUGAAAAAUAACAUUAAAUUACUGAUUUAUCUACUUGUUUGAAGCCUACAUUUAGAGGAGGCAGAGUUAGAUUUCAUAAUAAUUUAUGAAAGAUGCUUUUUUCUUUGAAAAGGGGGGAGAUGAGUUGAUGUGUAUGCCUGUGUGCCAGGAGAUUAUUGACUUUACAGUUGAAACCUCUUCUUUGUCCAAAAUUUUAAAUUGAGGAUUUCAAAGGCUCGAGAUGAAAGAGAAGCUACAGUUACAUAGUAGCUUGAAGUACAGAUUUUGGACCAUGAUUUGAAUUCCAACUUUGUCACUUCCUGUGGGACUUAAGGAUUGUUUUUUUGUGUCUCUGUAUAUGGACUGUAUAUACAUAGUUUGUAAUAAUAUCUGCCUUAAAGUUAUGUGAUUGUUAAGAUGUUGGAAAUGCACAGUAAAUGUUAGCUCUUAUUGAUUUAAGAGGACUAGAUUAGAAACUUUACUUCAUAAAAGUACAUUAGUCUUAGUGUUAAUAAAAUAUUGUUUAGUUUAUCAUCUGUGUAGGGGUUUUAAUUUUUUUUAAAAUAAAUAGUGGAAAUCACAUUUUCCUCCAGAGUCUUACCUGAUGCCUUGAUGUAUAAAACAGAAAAAUAGAGCUGCUGUAAUUGAAGUGGUACCUCUGCAGAACAGUUAGUGCUUUCGAAUCCCAAAGAUGAACUAAAAACAUAAGAAGCCUUGAUACUGAAAAUGUACAGCCAAAACAAAAACUAGAAAAUUGAAUUCGACUUGAGAAUUUUACUUGGAAGUCUCUUAACUUACUUUACUUGAACCAAUCUGUAUAUGGGGAAGGUCUGCAAUUCAUAAG
This is a long non-coding RNA of Trichechus manatus latirostris (Florida manatee), 2209 nucleotides long. RefSeq lists it as uncharacterized. The record is from RefSeq and is a predicted model, not a curated record. NCBI's taxonomy places the organism in Eukaryota, Metazoa, Chordata, Mammalia, Sirenia, Trichechidae. The transcript has 2 exons.